UUCUUUUCUUUCUCUUUCUUCUUCUCUCUUAUUCUCUCUUCUGUUCUUCUCCUGCGAUUUGUUUAAGAAUGGAAAUUCACGAUUUUGUGUUUGAAUCAAGAGAAGUCAAAUCAAGGAAGGAUAUCUGGUGGUGAAGAUAGUCACGUAGUUAGUUUAGGCUCAGAAGAAAAAGGGGAUUACAAAGAAUCGGUAUUAGGUUUUCUUUGAGAUGGAAUUGAAGAAGGAUUUAUAUGAAUUUCAGUAUGAAAUUGAAGAAUAAUGGAUGGGUUUGUUUCUCUGAAGACUUUAAAUAGAAAUCAAUUGUUCAAUUUAAGUUUGAUAAAGAUCUGGGAAGAAUUAGGGUUUGCUAGAAAAGUCGGGGAGGAUGAAAUUGAGAGUUUAGAUAACUGAUUGGAGUUGAGUUUGACGUGAAUUAGAGUAUAUGAUGAAGUGUAAUUCGAUAUUGAAGAAGUUAGGGUUUGCUGGGAUUAUUCAGUUGGUUUCAGAGGAAGAAGUUAUAGUUGAUGCUGAGACUGAUUGAGGUAUGGAAGGCGAAGAAAGGUAAAUUGAGUUAGUUUUUCUUCAUUUUGAUUGAUUGUGAAAUUGAUUAUGAAGUUAAGAAAUUAAAGAUUCAGUUUUGCUGUACUUGGGUGAUGUGAAUUGUUACAUGUGAUGAUGAGAUUGUUUGUGUUGGUGGAUAUGUAUAAUAUGAAAUGUUGUUGUUUGGGUUGCCGCUACAGUCUAGAGAUGGUGGGUGGUUUGUGUAAUGAUAAUUGCAGGUGUUGUUAGUUGUGGAAGUUGAGUUGGAAUUGAAUAACUAGGAUAGGACUCUGUGUUGUUGUGUUGAGCUGAAAUAGAUAAAUGUAUUAAGUGAUGAAUGGUAAUGGUGGCAAGAACUUAAAUGAGAAUCUUGGAUUGAAUUACAGAAUUGCGGUGGAUGUUCUGGUAGUGUUAUGUUGUUGAUGGUCGAGUUAUAGUGAUGGUUGAGCUAAAUUACAGGAAAGUACAGUUAAAGAUGGCUGCAGUUGGGAAUGAAACUGAUGAUAAAUGAAUUGAACUAGGAAAGGCGAUGGUGAUGAGUCGCAGUUGAGUGGUGCAGGUCCUGUGAUUUGUGGUUAUGGAGUGAGAGAUGUAAUUUGCUGGUAGAAAUAGAACUGAAGUUGCAGGUGUGGUUGAGCCAUGUUGUGUGAGAUUGCAGAUGGAUGGGUUGUGUUGGUUGAGUAGACUGUAUUGCAAUUACAUAUGGAACUGAAGUUGCAGUCUAGUGAAGGGAGCUGAAAUGUGUACGCAGUAUUGCUGGUGGUUUUGAAAGUGAAGUGUUGUUAUGGUUGAGGCCUUAGUGAAAGCCUGCAUUUGCAGAACUGAUGUAGAUGUGGUGUUGUAGUUUAUAAAUUGUGUAGAUGAAGCUUGAAGUGAUUAAGCUGACAUUGAUGUUGUAGUUAAUCUGAAACUGGUGAUGAUUCAGUUUAGUGGAGUGUGUUGCUAAAAGCUGCAAUUGCAGUUAGUAUAUUAACAACGAUCGAUUCAAAGGAUGAACCAGUGGAUCGCGGAUCUCGAGGUAGGCGUGACUUGUCAUCAAAAGAGUUUUCAGAGACAGAUCAGAGUUGCGCAGCGAAAGCCACAAGUGUUGACUCCGUUAAUUAGUUAACUUCUGCUAUGUUAACUAUGUUGUCUAUUGUAUCUGUAAGCCAAUUGACUAUUGUAUAUGUAUCAUUUGAGAGAAGUUCAUGUAUAUAUAUUCUGAGCGGGGUUAGUUUUGGGAUAAGUUUUGUAGCAGAUUUCUUAAUUGAAUGUUUAAAUAUUUAAAUUA
Molecule: long non-coding RNA, 1789 nt
Organism: Papaver somniferum (opium poppy)
Lineage: Eukaryota; Viridiplantae; Streptophyta; Magnoliopsida; Ranunculales; Papaveraceae
Exons: 3
Source: RefSeq, a predicted model, not a curated record